This 497-nucleotide ribosomal RNA is filed under the name uncultured bacterium. RNAcentral's name for it is "partial 16S ribosomal RNA". It matches the Rfam family "Bacterial small subunit ribosomal RNA", at positions 28 to 507 of the family's 1533-position model. The record is from RNAcentral.
GAUGAACGCUGGCGGCGUGCCUAAUACAUGCAAGUCGAGCGAACAGACGAGGAGCUUGCUCCUCUGACGUUAGCGGCGGACGGGUGAGUAACACGUGGAUAACCUACCUAUAAGACUGGGAUAACUUCGGGAAACCGGAGCUAAUACCGGAUAAUAUAUUGAACCGCAUGGUUCAAUAGUGAAAGACGGUUUUGCUGUCACUUAUAGAUGGAUCCGCGCCGCAUUAGCUAGUUGGUAAGGUAACGGCUUACCAAGGCAACGAUGCGUAGCCGACCUGAGAGGGUAACCGGCCACACUGGAAAUGAGACACGGUCCAGACUCCUACAGGAGGAAGCAGAAGGGAAUCUUCCGCAAUGGGCGCAAGCUUGACGGAGCAACGACGCCUGAGUGAAGAAGGUCUUCGGAUCGUAAAACUCUGUUAUUAGGGAAGAACAAAUGUGUAAGUAACUAUGCACGUAUUGACGGUACCUAAUCAGAAAGCCACGGCUAGCUACGUG